RNAcentral lists this ribosomal RNA (820 nucleotides) under Psora vallesiaca. RNAcentral describes it as "SSU rRNA". It matches the Rfam family "Bacterial small subunit ribosomal RNA", at positions 374 to 1272 of the family's 1533-position model. Lineage: Eukaryota; Fungi; Ascomycota; Lecanoromycetes; Lecanorales; Psoraceae. The record is from RNAcentral.
GGCGAUAGCUAAUUGCAUCGAAAAUAUGAUGCAAGAUCGAUUUAUUGAAUAAAAUUCUGGGUAGAAUUAUGAUUAUGACAUUGUCUACCCAUGUGUCUUGACCAAAUUACGUGCCAGCAGUCGCGGUAAUACGUAGAAGACUAGUGUUAUUCAUCUUUAAUAGGUUUAAAGGGUACCUAGACGGUAAAUCAAGCCCUAGACGGGACUAAUUUUCUAGAGUUACUUGUGAGGGGGUUUUAAAGUACUAAUGGUGUAGAGAUGAAAUUUUGUAAUACCAUUUUUCGAAAGAAAAGUAAUGGCACAGGUAUAGGCGAAAGCAUCCCCUUAUGUGAUAACUGACGUUGAAGGACGAAGGCUUUGAGUCGCGAACAGGAUUAGAUACCCUGGUAGUCAAAGCAGAAAAUAAUGAGUGUCAUAGAUUAGAUAUUAAAGUUUAUUCUAUAAAUGAAAGUGUAAGCACUCCACCUCAAGAGUAAUUUGGCAACAUUGGAACUGAAAUCAUUAGACCGUUUCUGAAACCAGUAGUGAAGUAUGUUGUUUAAUUUGAUAAUCCGCAAAAAACCUUACCACAAUUUGAAUAUUUAUAUCGUUGAUAUAAUUACAAGCGUUGCACGGCUGUCUUCAGUUAAUGUCGUGAGAUUUUGGUUAGAUCCAUUAAAUUAACGCAAGCCCUUACUUUAUUUUAAAAUAAAGUCGUUCCCCACUAGAUUGGAUAAGAUAACAGGGAUUAAGACAAGUCAUCAUGGCCUGAAUAUUGUGGGCUAUAGACGUGCCACAUAAACCUUUACAAAAGGAUGUGAAAUUGUGAAAUUGAGCUAAU